Molecule: ribosomal RNA, 119 nt
Filed under: Pteropus alecto (black flying fox)
Lineage: Eukaryota; Metazoa; Chordata; Mammalia; Chiroptera; Pteropodidae
Source: RNAcentral
AUCUAUGGCCAUGCUAACCUGAACACACCCGAUUCUGUCUGAUCUCGGAAGCUAAGCAGGGUCGGGCCUGGUUAGCACUUGCAUGGGAGACCACUUAGGAAGACCAGGUGCUGUAGGUG